AUGUUUAACAUCAAACCACGGUUAGCUCGGCCCACUAAUCCCAUGAUCGACCCCCGUCAUCCAUCCCCGAGCUCGAAGAAAAACAAAAACCCCACGCUCUCGCGUCGGUUGCUCCUAUCCUCCUCCUCCCGCACGACCUCUCGCCCCUUCCUCCUCCUCCCGCCUCUCCCUCCUCCGCUCCCUACCGCUCCACCUCCGCCUUGCCAUUCCCCGCCGCCGCCUCCCCACCCCCCCUCGCCCUCCCCGGCAACAACGACAACAACGGCGGCGGUGGUAACAUCAGCAGCGACGGCGGGGAUGAUGAAACAGGGGACGGCGGCGGCGAGUGGGGCGUUUACCGGGGGAGGCGAUGUUCGUGCUGGCACAGGCGAGAGGAAGAUCUCCAGCCUACCGUCGGACCUCGCCACGACCGUGGAGGGCGGCUGCAUCACGGGCGACAUCAUGCAGCGCUUCACGGAGAUGGAGCUCUCGCCGCUGCUCCGUUGGCUGCUGGGCUUCAGAGGGUCCAGGGAGCCCCUCCUCACCAAUGACCUCUUCAUCGCCAAGCUCGCCAUGGAGAUGGGCGUCAGCAUGAUCGCCAAGACCACUGCCGAGUACGAGAAGAGACGGGAGAACUUCGUCAAAGAAAUUGACAUCGUCAUCGCUGAUGUGGUACCCCUCUUGUCUUCUGCUACUGAAGACGGGCAAUAUGGUGGGGUCGUCAUUCAAGGGAUGGACUUUCCCUUCAGGUUAUGGUCUUGUUUCUCUCAAGGAGAUGGUGAUAGCAAGGGGGGAGCGCAAGAUGUUGCUGAUGGAUUCAACAAUGCUUUUGGCAACGAUGAAGUUGAACUUGAUGACGGACUAGAGAAGAAAAUUUCUGUAAUGCAGCACUUUAGACGUGCAUUUGGCUAUUCUAGGCCCCCCAAUAGAUGUUGUGCGUUUCAGUCCAUUGUAGGAAUAAUUUCAUUGAGAACUCGCAACAAUUGA
This 966-nucleotide ribosomal RNA is filed under the name Triticum aestivum (bread wheat). Its description in RNAcentral is "partial small subunit ribosomal RNA". The record is from RNAcentral. Lineage: Eukaryota; Viridiplantae; Streptophyta; Magnoliopsida; Poales; Poaceae.